RNAcentral lists this ribosomal RNA (279 nucleotides) under uncultured bacterium. Its description in RNAcentral is "partial 16S ribosomal RNA". It matches the Rfam family "Bacterial small subunit ribosomal RNA", at positions 28 to 307 of the family's 1533-position model. The record is from RNAcentral.
GACGAACGCUGGCGGCGUGCUUAACACAUGCAAGUCGAGCGGUAAGGCCCUUUCGGGGGUACACGAGCGGCGAACGGGUGAGUAACACGUGGGUGACCUGCCCUCAGCUCUGGGAUAAGCCUGGGAAACCGGGUCUAAUACUGGAUAUGACUCCAUGACGCAUGUUGGUGGGGUAGGAAAGCCUUGUGCGGCUGAGGAUGGGCCCGCGGCCUAUCAGCUUGUUGGUGGGGUGAGGCCUACCAAGGCGACGACGGGUAGCCGGCCUGAGAGGGCGACCGG